Molecule: ribosomal RNA, 237 nt
Filed under: uncultured bacterium
Lineage: Bacteria
Description: partial 16S ribosomal RNA
Rfam family: Bacterial small subunit ribosomal RNA
Source: RNAcentral
UUGCUCGGAAUCACUGGGCGUAAAGCGCACGUAGGCGGCUUGUUAAGUCAGGGGUGAAAUCCUGGAGCUCAACUCCAGAACUGCCUUUGAUACUGGCAAGCUUGGAGUCCGGGAGAGGUGAGUGGAACUGCGAGUGUAGAGGUGAAAUUCGUAGAUAUUCGCAAGAACACCAGUGGCGAAGGCGGCUCACUGGCCCGGUACUGACGCUGAGGUGCGAAAGCGUGGGGAGCAAACAGG